UCAGAUUGUUCACCUUGAUGUACCUAGAUCGAGAAUCCCUAACAUGAAGUAGAAUAUUCGAGAAUAAAUAAAAUGUUAUUAACCAUCAUAGUCUCGUAUCAUAUAGCAUAAAAGGUGCAAGUCAGAAAGCAUUGCAAGUUUUAAGUUAUUACAAGUUGAAAAACACAAGAGAAAGAGAAAAUAGUUGGCUGAUUGGGAUUAGCGGGGGCUUUAGGGGCUGGUUUCGCUCUUCAUCACGAUCUUCUUCUUCUUCUUUUUCAAAGCCUUGUGGAGGGAUUGCUUGUGCAUGCUGAGUCAGGUGAAAACAUUAACAUAUAUGAGCUACAAAUCACAAUCAAAAUCAUGAACAUUCACAAAUCGAUAGAGAUAUGGCGGUAAUGAUUAAAGAGAUACCUUGACUGAGACGUGGAGAUAGUUGUCGCCUCAGUCAGCUUGUCCUGUGUUACGAAGUUGUAAGAACCAAUGAAAUAAGUCGACGUAUUUUUUCCAAAGUAGCUUAUAGGAUACGAUCAAUUACAAGAAUUACAAAGGUUUUCAAAAAAUUAUAUACCUCAGUUUCAGAUUCAGGUAAGCAUAGCGUAUCAGAAUGAUCACUUUGAAUCUCCUUGGCCCUCUGCAUUCGAAUCUGCUUCCGCCGUUCCCUUUCAAUCGCAGGGACAUACUUUCUCUCAACGAUACGUGGACCAUGUGUGGGAAGAGUCUUAUUAGAAGCAAAAAGAGAACGACGACGGCGAGUGAGCACCAUUAUUACUGUGGAAAAAGAUCAAAGCCUCCAAAAACAACGGUCAUUAUUAGGUUUAGGUUCAACGGCUCAGCUUUAUGGCCUAAAGUUCAUUAGGCUUUUUUUUUCCCUAUAUUUUCUCUCUAUCUAUUUUGGUGAUUUGGUGUUUUAUGUUAUGUAAUUUUUUUAUUUUUAUUUUAUGUUUUUGAGGGUUUAUUCCGUCGGUUUUGUUUUUCU
Molecule: long non-coding RNA, 958 nt
Filed under: Eutrema salsugineum
Lineage: Eukaryota; Viridiplantae; Streptophyta; Magnoliopsida; Brassicales; Brassicaceae
Description: long non-coding RNA (ESAL_LNC001684)
Source: RNAcentral